CAUAAUCACCGAGUCUAUUAUCUCCCCAUACUUCUCAAAGUACUUCACAAAUUGUUCUACCAAAAUCAAAAUCCAGUUUUAACGCCACCCUAGUCAGUAAAUCAAAAAUCUACUAGCAAGAAACAAUUAGUAAUACAUAAAAACAAGUACGCAACAGUUUAAAACACUAACCUAACGUUGUCUCUUUAUUUUUAACGCCACCCUAGUGAGUAAAUAAAAAAUCUACUAGCAAGAAACAAUUAGUAAUACAUAAAAACAAGUAUGAAACAGUUUAAACACUAACCUAAGGUUGUCUCUUUCGCUAGACCUCCAAUAAAGAUUUUUCUGUUCAAU
This 333-nucleotide long non-coding RNA is filed under the name Nicotiana benthamiana. RNAcentral's name for it is "long non-coding RNA (NBEN_LNC017522)". The record is from RNAcentral. Lineage: Eukaryota; Viridiplantae; Streptophyta; Magnoliopsida; Solanales; Solanaceae.